This 465-nucleotide ribosomal RNA is filed under the name uncultured Klebsiella sp. RNAcentral's name for it is "bacterial SSU rRNA". It matches the Rfam family "Bacterial small subunit ribosomal RNA", at positions 338 to 795 of the family's 1533-position model. Lineage: Bacteria; Pseudomonadati; Pseudomonadota; Gammaproteobacteria; Enterobacterales; Enterobacteriaceae. The record is from RNAcentral.
CCUACGGGUGGCUGCAGUGGGGAAUAUUGCACAAUGGGCGCAAGCCUGAUGCAGCCAUGCCGCGUGUGUGAAGAAGGCCUUCGGGUUGUAAAGCACUUUCAGCGGGGAGGAAGGCGGUGAGGUUAAUAACCUCAUCGAUUGACGUUACCCGCAGAAGAAGCACCGGCUAACUCCGUGCCAGCAGCCGCGGUAAUACGGAGGGUGCAAGCGUUAAUCGGAAUUACUGGGCGUAAAGCGCACGCAGGCGGUCUGUCAAGUCGGAUGUGAAAUCCCCGGGCUCAACCUGGGAACUGCAUUCGAAACUGGCAGGCUAGAGUCUGGUAGAGGGGGGUAGAAUUCCAGGUGUAGCGGUGAAAUGCGUAGAGAUCUGGAGGAAUACCGGUGGCGAAGGCGGCCCCCUGGACAAAGACUGACGCUCAGGUGCGAAAGCGUGGGGAGCAAACAGGAUUAGAUACCCGGGUAGUC